Molecule: unclassified non-coding RNA, 2321 nt
Filed under: Hevea brasiliensis (rubber tree)
Lineage: Eukaryota; Viridiplantae; Streptophyta; Magnoliopsida; Malpighiales; Euphorbiaceae
Source: RNAcentral
GCUCAAGUCCCUGAUUAACCUUUGCCAUGAAACUAUCAGCAAGAGCUUUCAGGUCAUCUGGAACAACUUGUUCCGACAAUUGUAAAGCUUUUAGAAGAUCAGGUGCAUAUCUUGCAUCAUCUUCAGAUAUGAAUGUGAUGGCACAACCUUUCUUACCAGCUCGACCAGUCCGCCCAACACGAUGAACAUAGUCCUCAUAAUGGUUUGGAACAUCAUAAUUGAUUACCAGUUCAAGCUCCUUGACAUCUAAGCCCCUGGCUGCUAUACUAGUAGCAAUCAACAAAUUACAUACAUUACUUUUAAAGUCGGAUAUGGUGGACUCACGAUCAGUCUGAUCCUUAGCCCCAUGAAGGGAGAGACAGGGAUAACCAUGCUUGAGCAAAUCUUUAAAUAAAGCAUCACAUUUCUCCUGUGUGUGAACAAAUAUUAAAAUUUUACCUUUUUCAUACCAUUCACCAAGUAACUCAAGAAGCCGGAGGAAUCUAUCACUUUCUGGCCUCACCUCAACCAAUUGUGUUAUAUCCUUGUUCACAACACUCCUACCACCUACCUGUAUUUCAACAGGCUUGUUCAACACUUUACGAGCUAGUAUUUCAACCUGACGAGGAAAAGUUGCAGAGAACAGGACUGUUUGACGGUCUGGCCUGGUGUUUUGGACAAUUCUUGUGAUCUGAGGUUCAAAUCCCAUAUCAAACAUCCGAUCAGCUUCAUCCAUGACCAAAUAUGUGACUCUUCGCAGAUUUGUAAUCUUCCCACCACUUGUACAGAGUAUGUCAAUCAUCCUACCUGGAGUGCACACAACAAUUUCGGCUCCUCGUUUCAAUUCACUAAUUUGUUGAGCAACACCAGAACCUCCAUACACAGGUACACAGGUGAGACCCAUCACUCUUGCAAACUUCUUAAUAUCACUAUGAAUUUGCUGUACAAGCUCUCUAGUAGGGGCCAUUAUUAGCCCAAUAGGACCAUCUCCAGACAUCAGAGGAGGCUGGUCCUUAAUAUGUCUCAGCAUUGGUAAUACAAAUGCCAGUGUUUUACCAGAACCCGUCUUAGCAAUCCCAAUACAAUCUCGGCCACUCAUAAUUACUGGCAGAGCCUGAGCUUGAAUAGACAUGGGUUUCUCAUAAUUCAGUUUCUUAAUAGUGUCUAGCAUCUUGGAGGACAGUCCUGUCUGAUGCCAUGUUUUGAUUGGUUUCGGAACAUCCUUGCCAUGGAUCUUCAAUUCCAGUUGUUUCCUGUAAGCAGAAACCUCUUCAGCACUGAUUCUUGAAAUCUCCUUAACUUCUAUGUAGAAGUUCUUUCUGAAAGGAGGAUAUUCAAUCUUCGAAUGAUCCACCAAUGAUAGUUUCUCCGCCUUGGUUUUCUUCACCCGUUUCAUAAAUUCUUCAUCAUCUUCUUCCUCCAAAGGAUCUUCAUCAUUCUCAACGUUCCCAUAAUCUGAAUCCGAAUCUUCACCUGGGAUAAUUCUUCCCAUGGUUUUCUUCAUGCUCAUCUUAGGCUUUUCUUCCUUCCUCGGACCAUUUUUCUCUUUCAUACUGGAAUUUUCACCAUCCAAACUAUUGACUACGGAUUUGUUAAGCUUCUCAACUUCAGGCAAAACCAUAUCGUUCAUAAAAGCAUCCAACGGGUCAAUCUCAUCAUCGUCAACUAAACCAUCACCGCCAUUCUGAAUAACAGGGGAAUCAGAUCCAAUGCUAGAACUAACCACCUUGCCAGCUCCAUUUUCGUCGUCCAUGACCUUGCCAGUAUCAUCCCUAUCAAUAUCCAUGCCAGUUUUCCCCUCAGCAUCUUCAUCAUCAGACUCACCAUCCAAUGUCCAAGUCUUGCCCAACUUAGGUUCUUCAGCACCUGCAUCAACCCCAAGUGUCUCCCUCUCAGACUCCUCUUUUUUUCUUUUUAGCUCUUGCCAUUCCUGAACUCUCCUCCUUCGCUUCUCCAUCUCGUCAUCUAAUUUCCUUUGCUCCUCAGCUAGAUCCUCUUCUCGACUCUUCUGAUCCUUUUCAGCUGAUACUUCAUCGGUGCUCUCUUCCCUUAGCCUGUUGUUUGGUUUGCUACUCCUUUCACGAUCCCUCUCCUUAUGAUGAUCAUCAUUAUCCCUCUUUCGCCUCUUUCUUUCACGAUCCUUUGUAUCAACUUCGUCAUCACUCCCCUUUUCAUAUACUUCCCGGUGUCUAUCCUUUUCGCGAUUCCUCUCCUUCUCCCUUUCUCUCCUCUCUCUAUCUCUCUUCCUCUCCCGUUCCCUCUCCUUCUCCCUUUCCCUCUCGCGUUCCCUCUCCUUCUCCCUUUCCCUCUCGCGUUCCCUCUCCUUCUCCCUUUCCCUCUCG